Molecule: ribosomal RNA, 443 nt
Filed under: uncultured bacterium
Lineage: Bacteria
Description: partial 16S ribosomal RNA
Rfam family: Bacterial small subunit ribosomal RNA
Source: RNAcentral
CCUACGGGAGGCAGCAGUGGGGAAUAUUGGGCAAUGGGCGCAAGCCUGACCCAGCAACGCCGCGUGAAGGAAGAAGGCUUUCGGGUUGUAAACUUCUUUUCUCAGGGACGAAGCAAGUGACGGUACCUGAGGAAUAAGCCACGGCUAACUACGGGCCAGCAGCCGCGGUAAUACGGGGGUGGCAAGCGUUCUCCGGAUUUACUGGGUGUAAAGGGCGUGGAGGCGGGAAAGCAAGUCAGAUGUGAAAACCAUGGGCUCAACCUGUGGCCUGCAUUUGAAACUGUUUUGCUUGAGUACUGGAGAGGCAGACGGAAUUCCUGGUGUAGCGGUGAAAUGCGUAGAUAUGAGGAGGAACACCAGUGGCGAAGGCGGUCUGCUGGACAGCAACUGACGCUGAGGAGCGAAAGCGUGGGGAGCAAACAGGAUUAGAUACCCGAGUAGUC